Molecule: unclassified non-coding RNA, 433 nt
Filed under: Hevea brasiliensis (rubber tree)
Lineage: Eukaryota; Viridiplantae; Streptophyta; Magnoliopsida; Malpighiales; Euphorbiaceae
Source: RNAcentral
GGGCAAUGCAGCCUUCUCCGCCGGCGACUUCUCCUCCGCCGUCCGCCAUUUCUCCGAUGCCAUCCAACUUGCUCCUAACAAUCACGUUCUUUAUUCCAAUCGAUCUGCGGCUUAUGCUUCUCUCCAUCAAUAUUCCGAGGCCUUGGUUGAUGCUCAGAAGACCGUAGAGUUGAAGCCGGACUGGCCUAAGGGUUACAGCCGGCUUGGCGCUGCUCAUCUUGGUCUCGGUGAACAUGAGGCGGCUGUAUCUGCUUAUAAGAAAGGGCUUGAGAUUGAUCCUAGCAAUGAAGCUUUGAAAUCUGGACUGGCUGAUGCUCAGUCUGCGGCGGCUUCCAGGUCGCGUCCGGCGCCUCCACCGAAUCCGUUUGGGAAUGUUUUCUCUGGACCUGAGAUGUGGGCUAAACUGACCGCUGAUCCGACGACUAGGGCUUUU